GAUGAAUGCUGGCGGCGUGCCUAACACAUGCAAGUCGAGCGGCAGCGAGGGGUGCUUGCACCCUGUCGGCGAGCGGCGAACGGCUGAGUAACGCGUAGGAAUUUGCCCCAAAGUGAGGAAUAACUGCCCGAAAGGGUAGCUAAUGCCGCAUAUGGUCCUCGGAUUAAAGGAUUUAUCCGCUUUGGGAGAAGCCUGCGUUGGAUUAGGUUGUUGGUAGGGUAAUGGCCUACCAAGCCGACGAUCCAUAGCUGGUCUGAGAGGAUGAUCAGCCAGACUGGAACUGAGACACGGUCCAGACUCCUACGGGAGGCAGCAGUGAGGAAUCUUCCACAAUGGGCGAAAGCCUGAUGGAGCAACGCCGCGUGAAGGAUGAAGGCCUUCGGGUUGUAAACUUCUUUUAUGAGUGAAGAAUAUGACGGUAACUCAUGAAUAAGCACCGGCUAACUACGUG
RNAcentral lists this ribosomal RNA (451 nucleotides) under uncultured bacterium. Its description in RNAcentral is "partial 16S ribosomal RNA". It matches the Rfam family "Bacterial small subunit ribosomal RNA", at positions 28 to 507 of the family's 1533-position model. The record is from RNAcentral.